Pelobates cultripes (western spadefoot toad) is the source of this 8635-nucleotide non-coding RNA. The record is from the annotation of a GenBank genome assembly. Lineage: Eukaryota; Metazoa; Chordata; Amphibia; Anura; Pelobatidae.
UUGGACAAUGAAAAAUGCAGAGAACGGAAAUAAAUAAUAUAAAAAAAAAUAUAUAUACACAUUGAUUACUCAGAGUCCCAGUUGACCUUUGUAACAGUUGAGAGUGUUCAAUUUUUAACAGAGAGUUUGUAGUUUAGAAUAAAUGUUCAGACUUUUAACUCAUCCUUUGCAGUGCUUUAAAGAGUUGCAGCCAUCAUUGUCGCUGGCCUCUUCAACACUCAAGGAGUUAUUAAGGCACUCUGCACUGUGACAGAUAGAUGCAGUUCCCUGAUGUGCUUCACCUGGAGCAGAUACCUUUCUGAUUCUUUACACAGUUAUUUCCAUUGCAAAGGCUAAAUUUAAAAAAAUUACACAUUUUUGGUACACAUUUUCCAUGAAACAAUUCCCAUUUUUCUGACCAGCCAUUGAAUAUAAGUAAUCAUAUUUAUCACCCACAUAAACAUAAAUGCAAGAUAUUUAAAUUGUCAUAAUUGUUAUUAGUUGAUUCUCAGAAUGCAAAUACUCAAAGUAGUUUCAUAACAUAUUGUUUAUUCCAGAGUUCUAAACACUAGAGAAAACAUAUCUAAGACGCUAGCAAGACUAUUCACCAAAGUGAGAAUCCAAAAUGAAUUUCAAAUUUAAGGACAAAGUAGAUGAACUGGAAGCACAGAUAAUUUAGACAUUUUUUUUUUUGCAAUUCAGCUAUUGUGCCCUUAAAAUUUAAAUUAACUCAGUUGAGUAUAGUCUGUUUGUAAUAUGUCUGUCUUAAUUGUCUGCUGUAGAGAAGUGCUGAGGAUCAUAUAAAUUAUACUAUAGCUGGCUGAAUUAGUGUUACUAUGACCUUAUAGGAUGCAUUUGCAUUAAUGACAUAGUUACUCACUAAAGAGAGAAUUGUUCUUAAUUCAACGUGAAUUCCAUUUUUUUAUUAUUGCAUUGCUGUAAGACAUUUUAUAUAUUUGAAAGAUUCUCGCACCAGUUUACCAGAAUGCCAUUCUUCUGUCAUGUUCUGCGUCAAGCAUUUACAUUAUCUUAUUCCGUAAUCAAAUAUCAAUCCUCUUAAUGCUAAACUUUGAAUACAGAUUAGAAAAUGGAAUGGACAACUGCUCAAAAAUAAAAUCCUGCAAGGAUGGGAAAAUGGUAGAUUUCCAGCUCGCAAUACAUCACCUUUUGGCCACCCUCGUGGUAGCGGGGCCCAAAAACAUUUCUUGUACCACGGCCCUCUCUAGAUUAGUUCUUCCACAAGUGCUAUAACUAUGUUUGUGCCGCAAAUGUAUAAAUAAUAAUGGCAAGACUUUUUAAGUGUAUAUGUGAUACAUGGGAUAGUGUAAAUUAUAAGGAAUUGGAAGUUGAAUUACAUUUUUUUUUCCCAAAAAUAGUAUAUUCUUCAAGUCACUAAUGUUUUUAAUCCAGCUAUUUAAGCUCAAUUUCAGGGUUAUUUACUGAAGUAGGAAUUGUCAGAAAUUCAAAGUGAAUUUUACAUUUUAGGCCAAAUACAUGAACUGCUAACAUAGCUGACUUGUAGCAUUUUUUCCAGUUCAGUUAGUUUGACCCAAAAUUGUUAAUUCACAUUGAAUCAGUAACGAUUCAUACUUUAGUGAAUGAUACUGUGAGUCUUCAAGCCUGAACAAAUUACAGUGUGAUUUCAAACACUUUCUAUUAUUGAACUAUCAUGAUAUGCUGGGUAUAUUGGCAUUCAGUGAGUUGUAGUGAGUUCAAAAUUAUCUGGCAAAAUAAAGACAAAAAAACCCGACAUCCAAUUAGCCAGAAAUUGAGUUUCUCUUAAAGGGCCACUAAAGUCAAUCAGACCACUUUAUCUCAAUGAAGUGGACUGAGUGCAGUGUCCCUGUCCUUUUAACCCUGCAAUGUUAAACACUGUAGUUCUAUAGGAACUGCAAUUUUUACAUUACAGGAUAAGGUCUACCCCUAGACUCGCUUCUGCUGCAACAACGAUGUAAAGCUUGGUCAGGUAAUAUUGCAGGGCACAGAGCAUGGCAUUGCAUUUUAUUCAAUGCUUUCGUAUGAGAAGCAUUAGAUAUGCGUGACAUUCACAACACAUGCACAUCAGGUCCCCAGUGCUUCUCUAUGAGAAACCUGAGUUGGACCAGCAAUGGAGGAGGUGACUCCUUCGUGAUGAUGUUGUGAAUUGGAAAGAGGCUAGUUUGAAAAUAUAAGUAAAAACCUAUUUUUAACAUUUUUAUAGCUAUCAGGUUGGGGGCCCUAAAUAUAAAUAGAGAUGGGGCAUUUUGGUGUUAGGAAUACAGGUUUGUAUCCCUAAACCUGUAGUGUUUCUUUAACUUUUGCCAUUGCAGACAGAAUUUUGCAACCCUGUUUGUAUCUCCUAGCAACUUGCCGUUAAGUAAAUAAACCUUUAUACGUGAGUGUGUGUGCAGUAUGUCACAGAAUGCUGUCUCUGCUUACACAGAUACUUUUUAACAAGAGUAACUGUAUAUCCCAGCAUAAUAAUAUUUCACUCCAUCCUCAACCACAUAAAAGCUCUACAACCAAGUCUAUUAACAAAAGGUAUCAUAUUCACAGCAUUCUUUCAUCAUGUAACAAAGACAGUCAGACAUCUGAUAAAUAUAUAAAUUAAUAAACAUACAGUUACAUAUAUCGGAUCCAUUCUUAUCAUCAAAAAAAGUGUACAAGUCAGUAAAACUAUUCAUAGCGAGUAAUUGUAUGGGUCUGUGCAGCUUUUUCAUGUUUAUUUACUAAAAUAAAUUUUCAGCUUGCAUCUAAAGACAUUUCUAACAUGAUUGUUAAUUCAAAUUAACUACUUUUCAGGUAUAAUUACAGCUCUUAGCAGCUUAAGUGCCUUAUUAAAGCCCUCUCUCCAGGGCAGCAAUUCCAUCUACAGUACUGUUAACCUCCCCUUAAACCCUUUUAAACUUGUUUAAUUGAUCAACACGCAAUUUUAACCCUCGUGUCUUGACCGAGAGUAGAAAAAAAAGACGGAGGCCAAACGAUGAUUUUGAAAAAUUAACUCAAAUUUCUUUUGAUCUCCAUAUUCAAGUAAUGAAAGCAUGCAAUAACACACACAAUUACAAGUAAAUAAUAUUAUAACAAGAAAUUGUUUGAUGUUUCGUACAGUGAAACAUUUUCAGCACCAUGAACAGUUCCAUUAAUUGCAAGUUAGCCUGUAUGGGAUUUAUGUGUUUUUAAGGCAAAUGAAAGAUCUACAUUACAUCCCCUAAAUGCUUAUAUAUGGAUAUCAGAGCGUAAAAAAUAAUCGAGACGAUAAAUGGAAAAUAAAUAAGGGGAAAACCACAGGUAAAUUGUCAAAACGUUGUUAAACAGUUUGUCUAUUUACUAUCGGAAGGUUCCAUGGCCCUCCUGACAUCAUAACUAUUACAGGGGGCAGUUAAGUUGCAUGGGAUAUUCCUUUACUCCAAACAUCAUAACACCUUAUGGAUCAUUCUUGGUACAGUACAGGGGUGACUAAAAGUUAGAUACCCAGGUGUUAUAGAGCUAGAACUCCCAUGAUGCUGUGCAUGCCUUUGGAAUGCCAUUAGAAUGACAAAGCAUCAUGGAAGCUGUAGUUUUAAAACAUCUGUGGAUCUACCUUUGGAUAGAGCACUCCCAUCUUGAAAUUUUCAGAUGUUUUUUAUUCUUUAUUUCUAAGUACAUUUCUCCAUGCAAAAUCCCCUUCCUUCUUACAUCAUAUUAGAAAUCCAUAGCUUCUUAUUCACCCAUAGAAGUAGAUAAACAUACCCUACUUGUGUGCAGGUCAAUAAUCAGUGCAAUUUAGAAAAUAGUAGCAAGCACUCACCCAAGGGGGAAGGAGGAGAGACAAUCAAAUUCUGAAGAACUGAAAGAAUAUGGAUGUCUGGGAGUGUUCUGGACUAUGUUUUAUUUUGAAGAAUUAAUCGGUGACUUAAUUGCAACAUUUCUAUACAAGCAAAGGGGAAUAAAAUUAACUCAGAUUUAUCUUCAGUUGUCUCUAAACUCUAAGUUAUUUUUGUUAAACACCUGUACUGCAAGCAUAGGCUUUUUAGGCAAACACUAAUUAUUUUAAAUAUCUGCUUUAUCAAGCGAAAAAAGAAACGUGUUAAAUGCAUAUAAGCCGAAACAAACUGAUCAUCUCUUAAGUUUCAGUUUUCAAAUCUUUGCUCGUUUUAAGCUUUAUAAGAUAAAAUAUUUUUUUCUUUGAAAGGGUUAUGGGAAUUCACUUUCUAUACAUGUAAUGCUUUGAUAAAAGUCCUAAUAUCAUCGAAUUCAUGAAUGUAUACAGUCAAUGGGAGAGACAGAGAGCAAAAUUGGGGCUAUUGACUAAUGUGAGAAUUGUUAGGAAUUCAAAGUGAACUUCUGAAAUUUAAAUAGCUGAAGUGGAGCUGAUUUGGAUUAUAUUUCCAGUUGGCUAGUUUGGCUUUAAAUUUGUAAUUAACUUUGUAUUCCCAACAAUUAUCACGUUAGAAGUAAAGUGUUGAUGACUGCAUUCACAAAUCGAUAUAAUAGGAUUCUUCCCAAGGUGUUUCGCAGGCUUGGGUAGCUAAAUUCUCAUCCACAUCAUAGAAACAAAAAGAUGUCCGGGCACUCAAAAUGUAUCUAAUAACAGACUUUUAUUUAGAAUAGAGAGGCAACGAUUCCACUAAAGCAGAACUGUGUAAUUCUCACUCUAGUGAAUAACUGUGAAUGUGUGUUGCUUAGAAAAUACUAGAUCGGAAUAUUGACCGUACACUGAAUGGUAACAUUAAAUAGGCUAUUUUAGCCUAAUUUUUCCAUUCGGAUUUUAAUUUGCUAAAAUUCUGAUUGUAAUCAAAUACUCCAAUGCACACACACAGACUUAACUCAAACUCCUACUACUCUUGGGCAGCAAUUUAUUACUGGAAUAAAAAAAAAUAUGUAAAGUUUUGCAUUUGACCUUCAAAAAAUGUAAAUAGUAUAUUUGUAGAACAUUUGUGACCAUUAUAUUUCUACAGUAUGUUUUACAUUGUUUAUUUUGUCCUUAUUGCAUGGUGUAGACUUUAAAGGAGCACUAUAGGCACCCAGACCACUUCAGCUUAAUGAAGUGGUCUGGGUGCCAGGUCCAGCUAGGUUUAACCCUUUCUGCUGUAAACAUAGCAGUUUCAGAGAAACUGCUAUGUUUACAUUUGGGUUAAUCCGGCCUCUAGUGGCUGUCUCAUUGACAGCCGCUAGAGGCGCUUGCGUGCUUCUCACUGUGAUUUUCACAGUGAGAAGACGCCAGUGUCCAUAGGAAAGCAUUGUGAAUGCUUUCCAAUGAGACUGGCUGAAUGCACGCAUUCAGCUGAGGAGGAGGAGAGGAGGAGGAGAGUUCCCUGCCCGGCACUGGAGAAAGAGGUAAGUUUUUACCCCUUUCCAGACCCCGGCGGGAGGGGGUCCCUGAGGGUGGGGGCACCCUCCGGGCACUUUAGUGCCAGGAAAACGAGUAUGUUUUCCUGGCACUAUAGUGGUCCUUUAAUGACUUUCAGGUGGUUGUAGGUUAAGGACAAUAAAUGGUUAAUUAACUAAACUGGGGACUGCAGCAAUAUAACAAGUUAACUACAGAUUUUGGGCCAAUAUAUUGCUGAAUUGGACAAAUUCUCCAAGUCAGCUUGAUUACUUCUUCAGCUGACUUUCUUGAGUUAUUUGGAAUAAACUCCCAGUUUAGUAAACAGACCUUAUCCCUUUUAUACCUUGCUGUUAUAAGUUAACUGUGCGUGUAAGACAGAAUUAACAAAUACAUAGGAGUCUGGAUUGCAUAUUACAAGGCUACAAUAAAUAGAAUUACAUUUUCUAGAAUCCACUUAAAAAAUUUAAGUACAAGUUUUAGGUCAAAAUAGUCUAACUGGAAGAAGGCUGUUUGGCCAAAAAUGUUUAAAUUGGCAUUGAAUUCCCAGUUUAGUAAAUAACUUUGUAUGAUUUUUUUUUUCCUGAUUGAUUGAUUGCUGUGAAAUCUGGAUUUUAAAAGCUAACUUUAAAGGGUUACUCAAAUAAUAGUUUUAACUACUUAUUGUUUUUACAGUAAAUACUAAAACACUUAUUUAAUAGCUUUCUUUUGUCCCUUACCCCUUUUAAAAUAGUAUAAAAAAAAACCCCAAAAAUAAAUAAAAAACUUACAUCGAAUCCUGCGCUGUGCCAAGUUCUCCUUGAUUGCUUCCAAGGCUCUUGUUUUACAAUGCUGUGUCAUCUUCAUCCUUGAUGAUGUCCAAUCAAGUGCGUCUCAUAAAGAAGCAUUGAUGGACUUUUGGUGCAUGCGCAUCAAGCGCCAGAAACGCACCAAUCAUAGAGAAAAAUCAUAGAGAAAAAGCAUUUAAAAAUUCAGUCCACGGUGCAAGCGGAUGCCAGAUAUAAUUUUUGCACAUAACUCCCAUUAGACAGCCUGGUACAGAGUUCUGGGUUUCCGAAGUCAUGUGUGCUAGGGUUGCAACUAGCCCCCGGCAAAAUAAAAUGUGGAGAUAUCUCUGUCCAAAAAAGCAGAAAGUGGUUAUGGAGGCUGGAGUUUAUAAUUUAUAAUGUAAGUAGUAUAUGUGUGAUAAACAAAAAUGUGUCAUUACUGUAUUUGCACUUGUUUAUUCCUUAAUUUACACCAUAAUAUUCCAGUCUCUUCCAUCACUUAAUUUUCCUGUUCUUGGUUGUUUUUUUUGGUUAUUUAAAAAAAAAAAAAAAAAUGUUAAGGUUCACAAAUGUUCCUCCAAAUAUAUUAAAAAAAGUAGGUGCUAGGUUGCUAAUUUUUUCCAAGAACAUUUUCUUGCCUUCUGUGAUUUUAUUUAAGCAAAUGCAUCAUUUUUCCUAGAAUAAUACUCUAAAAAUUGAAUUGACUAAAAAGGUGGAGUAAAAUUUUUAUAUUUGAGAAAAUGGUGCAUGCUCGCAAAACUGGCGCGAAUAUGAAUGACAAUUUUUAGAUGUAACCCCAAUAGUAUUGCUAUAUAUAGGGUUAAGAGAUCCACCAUGUUAUUAUUGACACAUCAUUUUGUCAAAUGCAUGAAAAAUUCAUGAAAAGGGUUUCUCUGCAGUAAAUGUGAUGCAUAUCCUGCAGGAUUCCUUAUUGCCUAAUUAAUUAAUCUUAAACACCUUCCUCUGAAUUCUACAUACUACAGGGUAGCCCUUUUCAUGUGCUGCCCAUCAAUAUGUAUAAGUGAUAUCAGUCCAUUAAAACAUGGAGGAUCUGAAAACCUUAACUCGCUCACUCGCUCUCUCUCUCUCUCUCUCUGUCUCUAUAUAUAUAUAUAUAUAUACUCAUGUGUAUAGCUUGGUGUUUUUUCUCUAGUACUUAGAACUCGUGUGCAUUUGAAAAUUGUGUUUAUCUUUUUAACACUGGGGCGCUACCCUUUCCAUUGAGAAGUAGAGAUUUAUAGUUGAAAUGCAUUGUAAUUCUCUUGAUGUUGUGGACAUCUAUAAUCAAACGUCAGGACAUUACGAGUAAAUCAUUUUGAUUGUUACUUUUUUUUUAUAAAAAUGCUUUUUGCCUCACGCUUUGUAUGCCUGUGGUUUACCCAGAAUAGUUAAACAAUUUGUGCUGGUCUACAAAGAAAAUAUUACAUUUAUUAACAGUAAAGCUUUUCGGAUUGUAUUUUAUAAAAGGCUUGUGAAGCACUGAUGCUAAAAACCUGAAACAACUCAAUUCACAGUUUGCCAGCUGGCUCCAUCAAUAAUAUUGUAAAACCUUGUAUUUUUAAUGGGAACUGUGGUGCCAGAUACUCUAGAAUGAAUGUAAAAAUACAAAACAAAAUCCAUUGAAAUAACACUUUAUACUCUCUCCUUUGAACUCUUGAAGCUCUCAAUAAAACAUUCUAUGGAGCCUGGAAUUAAAAACGUUAUCUGUGUUUUAGGAUGACGUUUCAAAAAUAUUAAUUUGGGAAUAUAUUUACAAAGCACUGAAUUCUGAUGAGAUGCCAAACAUAGACUAAAAAUUUCUGACUUAAAAAAAAAUUACAAAUGGAGGCAAAAUGUGUUUUUUCAAAUAAAUUUUUUUUCUGUUCUAGAUUUUGCAUGCCGCUUGCCCCCUCCCACAGUUCACUGUUGAGUACUCUGAGAGGUGUAACAGUUUAAAUGUAUGUCAUUGACUUUUGAAAACUGCUCUUACGCAAUUAAUUAAUCUGUAUUCUCUGUCAGUGUUCCCUCGAAUAAUCAUUGUUGUAUGUGACCUGUCACCUGGUUCAGUUAACGUUGUAAUUUGAAAUGACUACAUAUUGCACACCACUGUUCACAGAUGUUUUUAAAAAAUGUUCUUUUUCUCUGAAAAGUGUUGGUUAUUUGGUUUAUCUAACAGAAAUAUAAAACCAAGACAAGAUAUACAUCGAGACCUGAUCCAGCACAUACAAAAUGGAACCUCAAGCGCUUGGUUCCUCAAGAUAAUACAGCCUGAUUAACAUUAUUUCUUCAUUAACAUGUUAGGAAUUCAAAUUGAUUUCUAAUUUCUAAGUCAAAAUAGUCAAACUUAAAAAAUUCUCCAAGUCAGCUAGGAUUUCAGCUUAGCUGUUUUGGCCUAACCUUUGAAAUUAAUUUAGAAGUCACAUGUAAGUAAAUAAUUCAAAACGUGCUUUUAUUCAUCCACUAUCAAGGUUUUGAUAAAGACCUAUUGUGGUCAGCACCUUUAAAGUUUAUUUUAUUUUUCUGAAUGGUUUUAAGCAUGGAUAGUUGCUUUGUGGUUUCAAUUCAUGAUCAUUUUAGAAACAAAUUUAUUUUUUUAUUAUUGGAAAACAUCUACAGGGAUGUGUUU